This is a long non-coding RNA of Leopardus geoffroyi (Geoffroy's cat), 2800 nucleotides long. RefSeq lists it as uncharacterized. NCBI's taxonomy places the organism in Eukaryota, Metazoa, Chordata, Mammalia, Carnivora, Felidae. The record is from RefSeq and is a predicted model, not a curated record. The transcript has 5 exons.
CAGAGCCCGAUGAGGGGCUCGAACCCAUGAACUGUGAGAUGAUAACCUGAGCCGGAGUCAGACGCUUAACCGACUGAGCCACCCAGGUGCCCUGAUGAUGGGUAAUAUUUUAAUUGAAGCAACACCAAAAGGGAUUUGAGGGCAGCCAUGGCUGAAGAACUGGAACAUUCUAGUCUAGGUUCUAAAGAAAGCUCGGUGCGAGGCAAGCUGGUUUCCCUCGCUUGCUCGUGCAUUUAUGAACAAGGGACGUGUUUAUCCUGUGCCUCGUGUGCUGUUUGCCCCAUCGGGGUCUGCACUGAUGCCGUGGCCUACAGUCAAGAGAUGGAGGAAACAGAAACAGUCGGGUGGAAAACCCUGGCCACGUUUUCCCCGAACCCGAAGCUCCGUUCCAGAGACCUGCAGUGUAAGUCACCAAGGAGGAGCCAUGCUCUCUAGCAGGCAGGAAAUGAGCCUGUGGGGCCAGGCUGCUGGGGAGGCACUCUCUCCGUGCCACCUCCCCACUCUUCCCUUUGGAUGCGAGCAUGAUACUGUUGGGCACUCCGCUCGGAGAUGCCCGCAGAUCAACCGUCAGGAAGCUGAUUGCAAAUAACUUGAUCAUCACUCAGCACCUGAGAAAUACUCUGUUUCUCUCACGAUUACACAAUCUCUCAACGAACGUGGAUUUAUUUCACUGAAAAAUGUGUAAGGCGAAAAUAGCAUGUGCAUCAAAUCAAGGAGUAAGGAGGAAAGCUCCCUGUCCAAAUGAAAGACAAAGGGAGAUGCGGUCAUGCGCUUGGUAGCCUCAAGGAUCCCUGUUCACCGUCAGCGUUCAGUUCUUCGGGGACAUUGAGGCAGGGUCCUCACAGUUGUGCUCCCGACAAGCCAGCCUGAUGUCCCCACUCCCGCCCUCUGUGCUCCCCCAGUGUCCUCUGAACACGUCUCACUUCCAGUUCUGAUGCAUUCUUCUGCUGUGUUCACCUCUGCCCCCUGGCCUCCUCACUGCUUCCAAGAGCAUUUCUUGCAGGAUUUGUUAACAAACACAGGUGAACCACCUGUCACUCAAAAGAGCAAUUCUCAAAAGGUGAGUUUUCAUUGGAAAGGAACUUCAGCUUCACCCAGGAGGCCAGCAACCUGGGGAGAAGGCAGACUCCUGUCCAAAAGCCAACUCUGAUUUCUGCCUGGCCCAUGGGUCUUUAAAGGGUUUCAUCAGUUAAGGGAGUGCGGUGGUCUGUGAUGUUCCUGGUAACAGGCAGGCUCGAUGACCUCAGCUACAGAGUUAUCUUGGUGCUUCGAUGUUGUGCGAGAAGUUCUGGUUCUUGGUACCCAGGGAGUGGUUUUGCAAGGUCUGGUUCUUUGGAACCCCCAAAAGCAGGGCAGGUGGGGGGAAUGUUGUGCAAAUGUACUCUGUUCUUUCUGCAUAGGAGGGCAGGCUGAACAAAUGCACCCAGCGUGGUCAGUAAAGUCAUUUGUGUGAUCUUAAAAAAACAAAACCACGUGCUCAAAGAUUGCCAAGGUUAUCAGAAAACCAAGGGCCUUCAAACAGACCUGUGGGCCUCUGUGACCUGGGAACGUUGAGGUCCUUCACUCCACAAAAGCCACCGGACUGCAGAUCUCAAAGGAAGUAAAUUAGUUCCGUUACAGAUCAAGGGCCUUAGGUCAGCAAAGAAGGAGCGUGUUAACUUGAAGCAAGUUAACCCUUAAACACUGGCUGCAGUCUCUAGGUAGCUGGGACCAAAGGAACAGUGUUUGGAGAAGCCACCUUAAUGAACCAAGGUGUCCAGCCAUGUUGAUGAAGGACGCUCCUCCCCGCAAAUCAGUGAACACUCCAUUUUCCAUACAUCCUUUGGGAUCUGCAGUCCAGUGGCUGCCGUCCAGUUCCAGUGGGAACACGCGAUGACAUUCAUUUUUAUCACUCAUUGCCGUGGCGAUGGCUAACUGUACUGUUCAUGAUGUUGGGGAGGAAGAAUUUCCUCUGCCAUUCAAGGUCCUCCUGGUUGAACUAAGAAUCAAGUUGACACGAGGCAGAUGAGCAUGAGAAAAUCACGUUUACUUUACUACGUACGGGGAACCCACACAGACACGGAAAUUCCAAUGACAGGCAAAAUGAGAGUCGAGAACCUAAGCGUUUCCGAGACCUGUGUUUAUGGCCUUUUAUUGACCAGGAAUGGCCCCUUCAUAUCCUAUGUGGUCAAAUCCAAGAUGCUUUUCAAGGUCAACUCACUCAGUCACUCUUACUGGGUGAAGACUUGCAAAUCAAUCAGAGCAUUAAGUGGAUCUCCAGAAGUUUCACAGCAAUUUAGAAAUGAAACCAAGAUUUAAUACCAGCCUGCUUAAAAAGGUGCCAUGUCGAUGAUGCACACCGUGCAACAGAUGGGAAAAAUCCUCAUGCAACUUAACAACAUGCUCACGUUUUCCUGUAGUUCUGCCGAAACACAACUUUGUGAGAGCUCCCUCCGUUACCGCCAAGAUAAGCCACACCUGCUACAAAAGCAUAGCUCCCAUGUCCACAAAGUCUCUGGUAGCCUUGAACGUCUGAUUCUCCUUCUGGGAACAUCCUGUACAGACUAGAGUAUAGGCGGGUGCGUGUGUCUUUUCUUUGGGUUUUUGGAUUUUUGUUGUCAUUGGGAGGAUGCUACAAUGAGCUGGUGUUCCCAGAGCUGUAUCUGUAGGAAUUCUUGGAGGGUUGCAUUUGAAAUAUGUGCUGCUCAACAAAAAUACUGUUUCUACCAAACUCCCGGAGGACCAACCAAUUUAGAAUUAUUUCUUUUUAUUUCUUUUUUAUUUUUUUAAAUGUUUAUUUGUUUUUGAGAGAGAGAGAGAG